AUUGAACGCUGGCGGCGGGCUUAACACAUGCAAGUCGAGCGGGGUGAUGGUGCUUGCACUAUCACUUAGCGGCGGACGGGUGAGUAAUGCUUAGGAAUCUGCCUAUUAGUGGGGGACAACAUCUCGAAAGGGAUGCUAAUACCGCAUACGUCCUACGGGAGAAAGCAGGGGAUCACUUGUGACCUUGCGCUAAUAGAUGAGCCUAAGUCGGAUUAGCUAGUUGGUGGGGUAAAGGCCUACCAAGGCGACGAUCUGUAGCGGGUCUGCGAGGAUGAUCCGCCACACUGGGACUGAGACACGGCCCAGACUCCUACGGGAGGCAGCAGUGGGGAAUAUUGGACAAUGGGGGGAACCCUGAUCCAGCCAUGCCGCGUGUGUGAAGAAGGCCUUAUGGUUGUAAAGCACUUUAAGCGAGGAGGAGGCUCUUUUGGUUAAUACCCAAGAUGAGCGGACGUUACUCGCAGAAUAAGCACCGGCUAACUCUGUGCCAGCAGCCGCCCGAA
Molecule: ribosomal RNA, 503 nt
Filed under: uncultured bacterium
Lineage: Bacteria
Description: partial 16S ribosomal RNA
Rfam family: Bacterial small subunit ribosomal RNA
Source: RNAcentral